Molecule: ribosomal RNA, 426 nt
Filed under: uncultured bacterium
Lineage: Bacteria
Description: bacterial SSU rRNA
Rfam family: Bacterial small subunit ribosomal RNA
Source: RNAcentral
GUAAGGGAUAUUGCGCAAUGGGCGAAAGCCUGACGCAGCAACGCCGCGUGCCCGAGGAAGGCCUUCGGGUCGUAAAGGGCUUUUAGGGCUGAAGAGCAAGGACGGUAAGCCCAAAAAAAGUGUCGGCUAACUACGUGCCAGCAGCCGCGGUAAAACGUAGGACGCGAGCGUUAUCCGGAGUUACUGGGCGUAAAGGGCAGGUAGGCGGUCGGGUAAGUGGGAUGUGAAAUCUCCCGGCUCAACCGGGAGGGAGCAUCUGAGACUGCCGGACUGGAGUGCAGCAUAGGAGCGUGGAAUUCCGGGUGGAGUAGUGAAAUGCGUAGAGAUCCGGAGGAACACCAGAGGCGAAAGCGGGGCUCUGGGCUGCAACUGACGCUGAACUGCGAAAGCCAGGGGAGCGAACGGGAUUAGAAACCCCUGUAGUCC